RNAcentral lists this ribosomal RNA (687 nucleotides) under uncultured bacterium. Its description in RNAcentral is "bacterial SSU rRNA". It matches the Rfam family "Bacterial small subunit ribosomal RNA", at positions 54 to 749 of the family's 1533-position model. The record is from RNAcentral.
CAUGCAGUCGAGCGGGGUUUUCGGACCUAGCGGCGGACGGGUGAGUAAUGCGUAGGAAGCUACCCGAUAGAGGGGGAUACCAGUUGGAAACGACUGUUAAUACCGCAUAAUGUCUACGGACCAAAGUGUGGGACCUUCGGGCCACAUGCUAUCGGAUGCGCCUGCGUGGGACUAGCUAGUUGGUGAGGUAAUGGCUCACCAAGGCGACGAUCUCUAGCUGGUUUGAGAGGAUGAUCAGCCACACUGGAACUGAGACACGGUCCAGACUCCUACGGGAGGCAGCAGUGGGGAAUAUUGGACAAUGGGCGCAAGCCUGAUCCAGCCAUGCCGCGUGUGUGAAGAAGGCCUUCGGGUUGUAAAGCACUUUCAGCGAGGAGGAAGGGGUAGGUGUUAAUAGCAUCUACUUUUGACGUUACUCGCAGAAGAAGCACCGGCUAACUCUGUGCCAGCAGCCGCGGUAAUACAGAGGGUGCAAGCGUUAAUCGGAAUUACUGGGCGUAAAGCGCACGCAGGCGGUUGGUUAAGUCAGAUGUGAAAGCCCCGGGCUCAACCUGGGAAUUGCAUUUGAAACUGGCCAACUAGAGUAUGUGAGAGGGGGGUAGAAUUCCAAGUGUAGCGGUGAAAUGCGUAGAGAUUUGGAGGAAUACCAGUGGCGAAGGCGGCCCCCUGGCACAAUACUGACGCUCA